UUAAAAUCUUGUGAUUUAGAAUAUAGUGGCAUAAUCUGUUAUAGUUGCACAUAACAAUAUUCACUUUUACCAAUUCAAUUCAAGCUCAAACUUUUUUAAUCUCUUUGAGGAUUGAAUAAUAAAUUCAGCAUUGCCAGUGCAAAGUAAAAGUAUUCAUUCACUCUAUUGCUGGUUUUCCUAGGCAUAUGAAAUUAGUACGGCUUCUCACACUCUUUAUUUCACUCCUUUGUGUGAAUAUAGCCUACAGAGAUUUAAAGGAUUAACUUGUGUCGGAUUGUAUUCUAUAGUCUCCGGGCAUAAAACAACUUAGUUGUAAGUCAUACAAUAAGUUGAUCAAAACCAUAUUAAUCAAAAAGACAAAGUGAUGUACAAGAAAAUCAUAAUAUAAUUGUAUGUUUACUAAUGAAAAAUAACUGAAAGAUACACAAUCAUCAAAUUUGUGCCCCAUCCAAUGCCAGACCUUUUUUGGGAAAUUUUCAAAAUAAUCAAAGGUAUAAAAUAAUCUUAGCUUAUAAAAAAUACUUUGCCAAUUUUAGCAAUUUACACAUGGUUAUAAAAAUUGCAUAAAUUUGCACUUAUUGGCAAUGUUUAUAAUAUGUUUUGCUACAUUGUUUAUAUUAACACAGUAUAUACCCAAAAAACUUUCUAAAAUAUAAAUAACAACAUUACAAUCCAACUAUGUUUUUGAAAUUUUUGGGUUUGGUACUCAAAGAAAUACUGAAAAAUCCUAUACUCAAUGAAACAGCAGCCACACUAAAAGAACACUUUAUUUCAACAUAUCUACAAACUUUUAUCAAAUAUCACCUACCAUAAGAAUAUUAUAGUUUUUAAAUGCUGUUUUUGCAUACCAUAUAACAUGUUUAUUUUUAAUUAAAAGUGAAAUUAAAGUACAUGAUAAAAUAUAAAGUUUUAUGUUUUGGAUAUAUUUUUUGUGAAAUGUCCAUGCUGUGAAAACUUCAUGUUGAGUCAUUGCUAAAUAUUUUGUCAGUUACUUUGUAUAUGACCAAAUAUCAAGUAUCAUUAAAAUGACUAUUACUGUCUAUUGCAAGUAUAGAUUUUAACUAUGUACAGUGUUUCCAAAAAUCCUAGAUAAUAAAAGUCUUGGUAGCUUUUUAUGAUACCUUCCAUGAAUGAGUUUCAAAAAUUCUAUUACACAUCCUGAUACAUUGAAUGUAGCCAAAAAAUGUUUGCCUUAUCAAAAUUAUGUUUGUAUACAUAAGAUAUAGUUUUUACACCAGAAUAGUCAAUUACUUAACAGUCUGGCAAAUAAAGGUGUCUGACUGUCAGGUCAAUGAGUGGUGGUCAUUUCAGGCUGGUUUUUCAUGGACAGAAUUCUUGUCAGUUUUUAGGAAGGGAAUUUCUCAGCCUCAGUUUGGCUCCCACAGUUGGAUUACAGGAGAUUACUUGGUUCCUCUGUGCUUCUGUAUUGUUUCAUCUCUAGUCUCUUCUGUGUCAGAAGACUCCUAAAUGUCCAUCUCAGGCAGUUUUUGUCACUUGAAAGUUUCUAUAUUCAAAUAUUAAAAAUAUUCCACUCCUCAAACAUUGCACAAUAAAUAUUGUCAGAUUCGGUUUACUGUAUUGUAAAGUUUUGUUAAUAUUUUGACUGCUUCAAAAAUGAAUAGAGUUUUAUAUCAGUGAAGGUCUAUAUUAAUAUGAAUAGGUUUACCAAAGUAGCGUCAUUGUGUUGAGAAGGUAUCUGAUAAAAUUUUAUAACUCUGUGAUUACUACUGAUAACAUAAAAAUCCAUAUUUGUUCCAAAUUUUAACAUCUGUAUAAAAGUAAUGUACUAUGAUCAUUAUUUUUCUAUUCCUCAUCUUUCAGUGUGAAUUAUCAACUUCAUCAAUGAUUGAAUUAAAAAAACUACUUAAAGCAAGAAAUAUAUACAACACUCUGUUUGGCUUAGAAAGUAAUAUUUGUAAAUAUUUUCAAAACUCAACAAAAACGAACACUUCUGUUAUAACACGUGAUGUAGAAAAGUAUAAUCAUUUGCUUAAUUUAAUUAUUGUUAAAAUAAAAAUCAAGGACAGUCUAUACAUUAGAUCUGUGUUGAAGUUGAAAGAACAAGGUGGGCCCAUAUUUCUUCACUACAAUUGCACGUACAAUUAUUUCGUCGACAAGUGUGGCUGGACAAAGCAAGAAGUGAUUAAUUUGCAAACAUGGUUAACUGAUACACAUUAUUUGUGGUUUUUGUUUAGGAGAUUCAUAGAGAAGUAUAAAUAUAUUCCAAGAAAUAACUUGUUGUUCAGUUAAACUAUUUAUAGCUAAAUUUUUUUAGUAGAUUAACUAUGAAGUUUAAAAAUAAAAAUGUUCUUGGUUGUGAUUAAAGAGGACUGAAAGAAGUAGCUUAUCUUUGGUUAAAGAACCUCUUGAAACCUAUCUGACCUUCAGUGUUCUCACUUCUCAUGUAGGAAAAUUCUCAGUGACAGAAAAAGGUUUGAAAAUUUUUUUCUUGUUCAUAUUUUUGUGCAUUUCUCUAAAAAUAUCUGUAUUAUAUGCAAACACUUUCUAAAUGUAUUUUUUCAGUACUUUGAAAAUGCAUUAAAAUUUUAUCACAUUAAAACAUUGAACUUUUAUUCAAUACGUUAAUUAUUUAACAACAAAUAGCAGUUUUAGUAUCAACAUAGUAAUAACCAGCAGGACCCAACAAAUAAUAUAUGUAUGAUUGAGGUUACAUCUACUUUUCUCUCACAUAACAAUUUUCUUCUAUUUUCUUGUAUUAUUAAAGUAUAUCUUGUGGUAUGCCUUAGACUAGCUUGUCAUUUAAGAAAUUCUCUGCCCAUCAGAAACAUUAUUAUGUUUAAUGUCCAGAGUGUAAAAAUGUUGUUCAUUUCCAAUAUUGUUAAAAUUAUUUUCUUUAUGUAUUAUGAAUAAUGUUAACCAAAAGAAAAACUAGAAUAUACCAAGUCUUUACAGUGCAAUGGAAAGAUGAGUGAUAGUUUCUUUAUACGUUUCAUGUAUUUUUUAAACGAUUCAACUUUUACUUUAUUCCACUGAAAAUGCUCUAUCAGUUUAUCGAAGUUAAAUUCCAAUUUCAUAAAAGUAGGAGUUCCCAGUUUUAUCAUAUGAAAUGCUGAAUCUGAAAAUGUUGAAUUGGUUUGAACUAAUUUGUCAAACUCUUUAAACUUUUGCCAGUACAGUUCCAUAUUUUGAAGUAGGUAUUGUCCAUCUUCUUUAUUUGAUGACUGUAAUAGUUUUGAAAUUUUAUCAUCCAGCAAAAGUAAGUAUUUUGUUUCUUGGCUCAUAACAAGAGGUUUCUCUUCUUUUGUAACUAGCACAUUACCUAUACUAUAAAAUAGACAAGUCCACUGAAGAACACAUCUAGCACAUUUUGAGUCCAUUUAAACAAAAUAAGUGAUAGAAAAAUAUCAGAGUAUUUCACAGUUUACAAUCUUAUACGAGAUUCUUAUCAAUCUUUUUGUGUGUAUGUAAAAUUUUAAUUAUUUUAUUUUAAUUUAUAAAUUAUGUAGGAAGUGACACACAUUGCAUUGUUUGUUAUUUUAUAAGUUAAAUUAUUUUGAAAAUGUUCAACUGGUAAACCAGUAUUUCAGAACCUGGACUAAAUGGACUCCUUGCUUGAUUGCUUCACCAUUGGACUAUCUUCCUUUCCACAGGUUUAGCAAAUGGCAUUAAUGCCAGAUUAAUGUAAGUGGUUUGUGUGUGAUAACAGUCUGGAACCCAUGCAUAUAUUUUCCACUUAUACUGUAUAACAUUUUCUCUAAGAGCUAAAACAAGUCACUCUUGGCAUAAAUACUUAUUUGUUUAAAUCAAAUUAGUCCUCAAAAUCUCUAUUAGAAAGUUUCAAAGAGGAUGAACACAGGGUGUUUGUUCCAAGCCAAUAAUGUUAAAUAUGAUCAUAAAGUGUUAUACCUUAAUGAUUAGAGCUAUUAGGUUGGCAUGAGCGACGAAGCCACAGCGAAGUCUUCUGAAGCCACACUGCAAAGCUCUCUCUAUUUAAUUUUCCAUAUUAUUGAUGAUAUAAGUAGAGUAACAAGUACAGUAUUUUAUCUGGUUAUCUUUUGUUAUAAAUUUACAACCUUAUGAAUUUGUGAAAAGUGAGAGAUGGUAUCGAAAGCCUUAGAGAGAUCCAUAAAGAUACCUAUAGGUUUUUUAGCUUCAUCUAUUAAAUUGAAUAUUAGUUCUGUAAAAUCAACCAGAGCUGUAACCACUGAUUUACCUUUUCUAAAACCAUGUUGCUCCCUAUUGAACAGUUCAUUGUGCUCUAGAAAGUUCACCAGUCUAUUUACAUUGCUUUCUCAAACACUUUUGAUAGUUUUGGAAAGACUGAUACUGGACAGUAAUUAUUGGGUUCUAACUUGCUUCCUUUUAUAUGAAUUUGGACUACUUUGGCAAUUUUAUUUCAGAAGAAAAAAUACCAGUAAUAGGACAUGAAUUUAUUAAAUGUACUAUUAGUUUUAGAAGAGGUUUUUGUAGCAGUUUUCACUAAUUUAAUUGGAAUUUCAUCAUGACCACUUGAUGAUUUAUUUGUAAAACAUUUUAUAACAUGCAAUAUUUUUUCAUUUACUCGUGCACACCUAAAAACCCUCUUCUAAAACUGCCCUUCCUUAGUUUUUGGAUCCAUUUAGUUAAAUCCAAGACGGUUCGGUACUAUUUGUAAGAUUAUGAACUGUAUUGACAAAUUGUAAAUUAAAAAACUACUAACACUGUUUGGAUCAGAUGUUGAUUCCCUGUUUUCUUUUAAAUACUAUCUCUAAAACUGUCUUUCGAAUUUCUUCUUCGAAUAUUAAUAAUCUGCUAAGUGGUUUUCCUGAUUUUGCAACCAUAUAAUUCUCUCUUGCAAUCAACUAAUUUGAGAUUAAACUGCUUAUUUUUCACUCUAAUACUGUUAUGCAGUUCUUUAUCUUUAUUGUAUAGUAAUCCUACUUAAACUAAUAAUAUAAUUUUUUCAUUUUUUAGAUUUCUAUUGAAAGUCCCAGCAUUUGACCAUUGAGAUCUGACAAUUCAUUUAUUUUUUGUAAUAAAAUUGUCAAUGCAGAUUGAUGUCAAAACCUUCACACCAUGAGAAAAGCUGUAAAACAAUCAAUAUGUUAUGGCAAUUUAUUUUGUGAAGCCUUGUGAAAGAUCAACUAAAGACAGACUGCUAUAGUAAUAUCUUCUCAAUUCCAAAAGAUUGGAAAAUUAUUAUGUAUAUUAAUAAUUUUAUUUCAUUUUCCCAACUUAAGUCUAGUGCAAAAUGCUAUUUUAAUGAAAGAUUGAAUAUUGAACAGAUGUUUUCAAUCAAUUAUAAAAAAUAAAAUUAUUUUGAGUUAAAUAUCAUGUUAUGGAUUUCAUUUCCAUAGCAUUGUUGUGACCAUAUAGAAUGGCAACUUGGUGAAAUGGUGAUCUCAAUCAAAGAUCAUAAGCUCUAGCCCAACCAAGAAGCGACCUGCAGGAAGCAUUGUCUGCCAGCCAAUAGGGAUCACCGGAAGAGCACUCCUGAUAUGUUAGCACUCUCUGCCACUUGAUGCAACCUCCUCAGUGCAGCAUCUGAUAUCUGAAGCUGUCAAAGGCGACUCCUGGAAUAUAGAGUCCACGCCCGUCUGAAGAGAUAAAAAAAAAUUGGUGACAAAGAAGCUCAAAACGAACUCUGCAUUAUUUCAACAUCAAGAUACCUAGACUACACCAUUAAGUAUAAUAUAGGUAAAGGGGUGUUCUCAUUGUCUCCUUAGGUACACAGUUAAUUGAGUGCACUAGGAUGUUUUAGAAACGAUCCCAAAGCACAGCAGGGAUUAAAUAAAAAAAACUGACAAUUUCUGAAAUGUCAGUUUACAUUUGUAUACUUAUAUGUAUUUUUUGAGCAUUUAAAAUGAUUAAAUAGUUGCUAUAAAUCAAUAAUUUUCGUAACUGCUAAAAUGGUUCUUAACAGACUGUGUGAACAGGUAAAAUACAGACACAAUUAUUACAAUUACGGAAAUGAUUUAAUUGAUCAAUUGCAAUCACAUUUAUAAUGUGAUUAUAUUAUAAAUUUUGUAGUAUAUUACAUGAAAGGGGAAUUAAAGUUAUAUAAGUAAUAGCAUGUGUACUUCAGCCAAUAGCGGUAAAUAAGACAUGACAGCAUUUUUGCACAGCAGGUAAAAAAUUUAAUAAAAAAUGACACUGUAAAAUAAUCUUAAUAAUUAAUUAUGAUAAUGUAGAAAAUGAGUCAAAGUGAAGUUAGUUGUAUCCACAUCUUUGCAGCUGAUUACUAUUUUUUACUCAUUAUAAGGCCUUUGAAACAAAGUGUCAACAUCAACCCUCAUUUUAGUGAAAUCAAUUUGAAGCUUUUGUGAAAGUGCUGCAAUUACAAGCAAAAGAUCUUUGACAUUAGAAAAUGUUUUAGAUUUCCACCCAUAAGUUUGUUGUAAGUUUGGAAGGUCAAAGGCUUCUUGAACAAAAGAUGGGCACUCGUUUUCCAAGACAAAUUUUGCUGGCCUAAAAGCUUUUUGUUCACUUAGUACUACCAAUCCAUCCAAAUACCUUAAAUUUUUCCAAAAAUCUUCCAGAUAACCAUAAAGCAAAUUUCCUUUACCACUCUCUGGAAGUAUCAGCAAACGCAAUAUUUUCUUGUCUAAAUCAACUAAAAAGUUUCCUAAUUCCUCAACUGCAAUUUCAGUCUCUGUUUCACUGGCAACCAUCAACACGGUAGUAGUAAUUAUUACCGCAUGAAAUAAAAACAUUAUGUGAUAAUUUAGGUUUUGAACUGAUGUAAAACUGAUGUCACCAUUUAGGUGAAUUUCUUUUAGCUGAGUAUAAAGGACAGUACUGUGUAGUUACUGGUUUUAAUUAAUUAUAUUUGUGAUAUCGUUUAAAUCUUUUGAUAGAUCUUCAUUGUGAUAAAGGUUUGACUUUUAAUAGUUUGUAUUUUUCUUGAAACCACCUUAAAGUAACUAAAAUUUGAAAAAGAUUGCUGCAUUUUAUAUAACGGUUACACUAGCGGGCUUUAUAACUGUAAGUUAUUGCAUGUAAGUUAUAAUUCAAUUUUUUUGUAAUCAACGAUUUUGUGAGGAGAAUUUCUGCAAGAUUAUAAAGGACAAAUGUGACAUUAAAUUCAAGCCACAAUACAGCAGUUACACAUACAUUGUAAUUUACAAUUUCUAUGUAUAACUUUAAAUUUAAGAAUAUCAUUACUUAUUUAUUUCUUUUCUCCAUUGUUUAAAUCUAUGUAUUGAAGAAACACUCAGAGUUUUAUAAUCAGUGUUUUUUUUUUCAAAAACUUGGCAAUAUUUUUAUAAAAUAACUAGCAAUUAUAUCGAUUAUUUAAAGUCAUUUGAAUAUGUAUUUAAAAAUACAUAUUCUUGUGAAAUUUUACAACUAAAUAUAAGGGAAUAAACAGUUUCAGAAUGUUUGAUCACUAAAUUGAUUUGUUUUUUUGGUAAACAUCUCUUCAUUGUGCCUGACAGUAAAUAUUGCUUAGAUAAUAAAAAAAUGAGUUCUAAGUGUACCUAAAAUGUUGAUUACCGGUACUCAAAGAAAUUUUAAUUAUUUAAAUGAAAUAUAUUUAUUCUAAAACAUGCACAAUGGAAAAAUGUAUUUCAAAUUUAGGAAUUGUAUAAAUAUGUCCACUACAUAUUUACAACAUUUGUACAGUCAAAUAUUAUUUCAAAUUAGUUAGUUUGAAGUAGUAUUACACACAACAAUUCAAUUUUGCAAUACAUUGCUGUGAAAUUUGAACUAGUUAUAGAUCUUGGUAAUAGCUAUGAGUUUGUGCAGCUUGAGUGUUUGUAGUACACUUGUAGCAAAAUUAGAGAUGGCAAUGGUGGCCAGUGCAUGCACGUGAGUAUGAAUGUAGACACUAUACAUUUUCACCUGAUACAAUGUAUCUCAUUGGAUCAAAAUUCACAGCUCACAAUUUCUAGCAUAUUUAAGUAUUCAGUAUUUUGUUUUGUUUUUAAGGACACUCCAAAGUGAGUGGCAAUUUUUGUUCCAAUGCAAUGACUAAUUUCUAGUAAAAAGUGGAAAAUUAGCUUUGUAAUUGUUGUUUCAUUCAACAUAUCUUUCCACUAUGCAUACUUUAGUGAACAUUUCCUGAAAAUUUGCUCUUACAUGAUUAAAACUAUUACUAUUACAAAUAAAUAGUUUAAAUGUGUAACUACUGUAAAACUAAGAUUAAAUUGGCUAUCUAAAACGA
Molecule: long non-coding RNA, 8104 nt
Filed under: Homalodisca vitripennis (glassy-winged sharpshooter)
Lineage: Eukaryota; Metazoa; Arthropoda; Insecta; Hemiptera; Cicadellidae
Description: uncharacterized LOC124360345, transcript variant X2
Source: RNAcentral